Molecule: microRNA, 21 nt
Filed under: Drosophila pseudoobscura
Lineage: Eukaryota; Metazoa; Arthropoda; Insecta; Diptera; Drosophilidae
Description: dps-miR-2551-3p
Source: miRBase by way of RNAcentral
UAAAGCUUGAUUUGAUUUUCA